RNAcentral lists this small RNA (103 nucleotides) under Marmota monax (woodchuck). The record is from RNAcentral. Lineage: Eukaryota; Metazoa; Chordata; Mammalia; Rodentia; Sciuridae.
GCCAGGUGUGGUACUGCACACCUGUAAUCCCAGCAACUUAGGAGGCUGAGGCAGGAGGAUCACAAGUUCAAGGCCAGCUUGGGCAACUUAGCAAGACCCUGUU